RNAcentral lists this ribosomal RNA (800 nucleotides) under Metius harpaloides. RNAcentral's name for it is "partial 16S ribosomal RNA". The stretch from base 1 to 581 matches the Rfam family "Bacterial large subunit ribosomal RNA", at positions 1830 to 2925 of the family's 2925-position model. Lineage: Eukaryota; Metazoa; Arthropoda; Insecta; Coleoptera; Carabidae. The record is from RNAcentral.
GUCUUUUUGUUUUAUAUAUUAAGUCUAACCUGCCCACUGAAAAUUUUAAAUGGCCGCAGUAUUUUGACUGUGCAAAGGUAGCAUAAUCAUUAGUUUUUUAAUUAGAAGCUUGUAUGAAAGGUUGAACGAAGUAAAAUCUGUCUCUAUUUAAUUUAAAUUAGAAUUUAAUUUUUAAGUUAAAAAGCUUAAAUUUUUAUAAAAGACGAGAAGACCCUAUAGAGCUUUAUAAUUAAUUUAAUUUUAUUAAUUAAGAUUCAUUGAGGUUUUAUUAAAUUAAUUAUUUUAUUGGGGUAAUAUAAAGAUUAAAUUAAUUCUUUUUAAUUGUUAACAUUUAUUUAUGAUUUAAUGAUCCAUUAUUAUUGAUUAAAAGAUUAAGUUACCUUAGGGAUAACAGCGUAAUUUUUUUGGAGAGUUCAUAUCAAUAAAAAAGUUUGCGACCUCGAUGUUGGAUUAAAGAUUAAUUUAGGUGUAGAAGUUUAAAUUUUUGGUCUGUUCGACCAUUGAAUCUUUACAUGAUCUGAGUUCAGACCGGUGUAAGCCAGGUCGGUUUCUAUCUUUAUUUAGUUAAAAUAUUUUAGUACGAAAGGACCAAAUAUUAAAUAUAUUUAUAUUUUAAUUUUUGAAUAUUAUUAUUAUUUUGGCAGAUAAGUGUAAUGAAUUUAGAAUUCAUAUAUGUAAUUAAAUUACAAAUAAUACUUGUUUUAUAUAGAUUUAUUAUUUUCUUUAAUUUGUAUAAUUUUAUUAAUUAUUUGUGUAUUAGUUGGGGUUGCCUUUUUAACUUUAUUAGAACGAAAAGUUUU